AAGCCUUGGGCUCAACCUAAGAAUUGCUUUUGAAACUACUAAGCUUGAGUACUGUAGGGGGUAGCGGAACUCCUAGUGUAGGGGUGAAAUUCGUAGAUAUUAGGAGGAACACCGGAGGCGAAAGCGGUUAUCUGGACAGUCACUGACGCUGUUGCACGAAAGCGUGGGGAGCAAACAGGAUUAGAUACCCUGGUAGUCCACGCAGUAAACGAUGAGUGCUAGAUGUUGGGAUUUA
RNAcentral lists this ribosomal RNA (235 nucleotides) under Candidatus Midichloria sp. SC136. RNAcentral's name for it is "partial 16S ribosomal RNA". It matches the Rfam family "Bacterial small subunit ribosomal RNA", at positions 598 to 832 of the family's 1533-position model. The record is from RNAcentral. Lineage: Bacteria; Pseudomonadati; Pseudomonadota; Alphaproteobacteria; Rickettsiales; Candidatus Midichloriaceae.